RNAcentral lists this ribosomal RNA (426 nucleotides) under uncultured bacterium. RNAcentral's name for it is "bacterial SSU rRNA". It matches the Rfam family "Bacterial small subunit ribosomal RNA", at positions 355 to 775 of the family's 1533-position model. The record is from RNAcentral.
UCGAGAAUCUUUCACAAUGGGGGAAACCCUGAUGGAGCGACGCCGCGUGGAGGAUAAGGUCUUCGGAUUGUAAACUCCUGUCAUGCGAGAGCAAGACCUGCCGGGUAACUCCUGCAGGUUUGAUAGUAUCGCAAGAGGAAGAGACGGCUAACUCUGUGCCAGCAGCCGCGGUAAUACAGAGGUCUCAAGCGUUGUUCGGAAUCACUGGGCGUAAAGGGUGCGUAGGUGGCGUGGAAAGUCAGAUGUGAAAUCCGGGGGCUCAACCCCCGAAUUGCAUCCGAUACUCCCAUGCUAGAGAACUGGAGGGGAGUCUGGAAUUCUCGGUGUAGCAGUGAAAUGCGUAGAUAUCGAGAGGAACACUAGUGGCGAAGGCGAGACUCUGGACAGUUUCUGACACUGAUGCACGAAGGCCAGGGUAGCGAACGG